This is a long non-coding RNA of Anolis carolinensis (green anole), 1694 nucleotides long. Lineage: Eukaryota; Metazoa; Chordata; Lepidosauria; Squamata; Anolidae. The record is from Ensembl.
UUCUUUUCUCCUUUUCUUUCCUGGGUAAGGUUUAUAUGUCCUGAAAUGUGCAAGAAAUUGAUAGAUGUAAGCAAUUGUCAUGGACUUUCAAGACCCCUACAGGUAGCAAACCUUUCUUACCAAAUCUGAAAUAAACACAAUAGGAUAAUGUUGCAUUUUUUAGAGGUGGAGUCCCAUUACACCAUAACAGCUUUCGUGAUCGAUUGUUGUUUACCAGGAUACCGUUGCCUUAUAUAUGCUUGUAUAAGUUUGGAAAUUUUAGUCAAAAAAGAAGCUAUAUCAUAAGUCUUCUGGAAAAGAAAAAAGUAUUGGUGUAAAAGUUUGAAUGCUGGACUAUAAUUCUAGGAGACUAGAGUUAGAAUUCUUUUUCAGCUAUAAAAACUCCUGGAGUGACCUUGAGCAAGCCAUACUCUCUCAGUCUCAGAGGAGUGCAAUGGCAAACUGCCUCUGAAUAAACCUUAUCUAUAAGGUCACAAUAAAUCAGAAAUGACAAAGACAUGUAAUAAUAACAACUAAGAUUUUUUUUGCCCCUUCCUCUCAACUCCUUCUGCUGAGUUAACUGAAUGCAAACUACUUUUCCAUUUUGAACUCAUUCUGCCACAACUAAAGUAAGCUCAGGACAGUGGGGGGAGGAGAGAGAAGCUGAGACAUUUUGAAAGCAGCUGAAAAAGUGGGAUGACAGAGGAUUAAAUAAGGAUUUUCACUGCAGUUAGCUGGGAAAACUCAAGAUAGAAAUUGAGAUUUCACUACCUGAGUAUUUGUUUCUGACAGAAACAGCUGUUCCAAUAAACAUGUCGAUAUUUAUAUUUCUUAUUCAUUUGCUUUCCAUUGUCUGCCUGACAGGAACCUUUGGACACCAAGGAAGAAAGAAGUGGGACAUGACUCCUCCUGAAAGACUUGUGACAUUUCUCUUCCACAGUCCUACCAGCUUAAUUCUCUGGAUUGCUGAAGGAUAAAGUUAAAAGACAAGAAAGGUGAAAUGGGUGGUAUAUCAGACAGCUUAUUAAAGAGACAAGCUUGCUGCUUUCCCAAAGUGAGAUGACAGAACCAGUCAUGGUAUGUAUUGUAAUUUCAGUGCUGCAAUACAUCUUGAAGCUGUCUUAGGUAAAACGCUUGCUAAGCAUUGCAUUGGGGCUGUCAGAAUGCUUCAUGGGGUAGUAAUUAAAUUGAGGCAAUUCUACAGUUCAUUUUAUGGAACCAAGCCAAAACUAUAUCUAGCCUAGAAAUAUUUUCCAUAGACCUUGCUUUUUUUUUUUUUUUGGGUUUGUUUGUUUGUUUUGCUUUUUAAUUGUGAGAACCAGAUGUCUUUCACCUAAGUAUAUAUUUUCACCCUAGUGGAAUGUAUCCAGCUCUUAUUGUCUGCUCUGCUUUUUUUGUUUGUUAUCUAUAAUUUCUUUCACAUUAUACUUGAAAGAAAGAGGGCAUUGAGAAUUUGAAAUAUAAUUGCUCUUGCAGUAUGCAUGGACUUUAGUUGCCAUUAAUAUAAACUCUAAUCUGAAGAACAAGGAGGACUGUAAUUUUGUGUUUGGCAACAGCUAAGACAAUUUGAAGAAGUAUUGAUGUUGGAUUGCCUGCUAGAAGCAACAUAAUAUUCAGAAAAUAUAGGGCCCUUCCACACAGGCCCAAAACCCAUGAUGGGUUUUGGAUUAACCCAGAGUAAAUUGGGAUUCCCUGAUUUACUCUGAAUUUUUAAA